CAGUAGCCACGGUAAUACAGAGGGUGCAAGCGUUAAUCGGAUUUACUGGGCGUAAAGCGUGCGUAGGCGGCUUUUUAAGUCGGAUGUGAAAUCCCUGAGCUUAACUUAGGAAUUGCAUUCGAUACUGGGAAGCUAGAGUAUGGGAGAGGAUGGUAGAAUUCCAGGUGUAGCGGUGAAAUGCGUAGAGAUCUGGAGGAAUACCGAUGGCGAAGGCAGCCAUCUGGCCUAAUACUGACGCUGAGGUACGAAAGCAUGGGGAGCAAACAGGAUUAGAUACCCGGGUAGUCCCUGUCUCUUAUAC
RNAcentral lists this ribosomal RNA (301 nucleotides) under uncultured bacterium. RNAcentral describes it as "partial 16S ribosomal RNA". It matches the Rfam family "Bacterial small subunit ribosomal RNA", at positions 509 to 807 of the family's 1533-position model. The record is from RNAcentral.